Long non-coding RNA from Colius striatus (speckled mousebird), 857 nucleotides. RefSeq lists it as uncharacterized. The transcript is spliced from 4 exons. NCBI's taxonomy places the organism in Eukaryota, Metazoa, Chordata, Aves, Coliiformes, Coliidae. The record is from RefSeq and is a predicted model, not a curated record.
CGCUGAGGGGAGGUGAGCGCGGAGGCCGCUGCGGUGGAAGGCGAGGAAGGCGUGUGGGAGGAAGCGGUGCGGGAAGCAGAGGUCUGUGGGACGGUAAAACGCGGAGCCCCGCUGUAGAGGCGGAGAUGCAAGGCAGAGUCUGGCUCCAACAGUCACCAAGCGCUUACCCCUUCUGGCAUAUGGUGGGGUGUCCUCUGUGGUACCUUGUUGGUGUAUUGGUGCAGUCAGCCUAGCAGACAGGCAGCUGGAUAGCCCACCCAUGCUAUGGAAUAUCUGAAGCAGCACAUCAGAGGUAAAGGAGGGGAAAUGAACUGGAGCAAACCUUUUGCUUGCUAGUGAUGAGAUACGGUAUUGACAUGCUGUCACAGCCCAAGACUGCGAAUGACUGGGUACAACUAUAGUGCUUCUGAAAAGAAAAUUCUGGUAAUACUGGUCAGAUCAAAAUGGAAAAAGGAUGACAGUCAUGAGGUGGAACAAAACAUGCCAUGGGAAAAUGAAUUGACCUGCUAUGAUGACUCACAUCUGGCUACCUAAUCUGAAGCAUGGUCUUUGAACCUUGUGAAAAGUGGAGGAAACAGAUGCUAGAAACAAAUGCAGGCAUCGGGGUAAAGAAAGGAUGCACCAAAAUGCAAGCCUGAAAGAGAGCCACGCACAGCCAGUGUUAUCAGAGUUACAGAAGCAUGAAGGAUUCUGUCGGUACACAAUUGCUUAGUCUUUGCUUUUUACUUUAUGAAAUUGAUUUGCUGUCCUAGAGCGAUUCCAAGGGCAACUGAAUGUCAGUUAUGCUUUGUCACUGUCAAAUUCCUAGCUAAGUAUUUUGUAGGCAGUGUCCACAAUUUUAGCUGAUUGCGAAAGUG